GUGAAUCAUCGAAUUUUUGAACGCAAAUUGCGCCUUUUUCGGAAGGCAUGUCUGUUUGAGGGCGCCAUUUAACAAAUAAUGUGCCGCGUUUUUUGUUGCACACGUUGAUGAGCUUUCGAAGAAUUUUAAAUUUUUGGUGGCGCAUAAUGCACAGCGUGAAAGUUUUUUUUAGUUCGAGUGUAGUAUAAUUUUUGCUUGGGUUGUGAAACAACAUAAUCGCGCAAUGGGUGUGGCACUUUAUUUUUAUCUCUGCU
Molecule: unclassified non-coding RNA, 254 nt
Filed under: Paraglomerales sp.
Lineage: Eukaryota; Fungi; Glomeromycota; Glomeromycetes; Paraglomerales
Description: partial contains 5.8S ribosomal RNA and internal transcribed spacer 2
Rfam family: 5.8S ribosomal RNA (bases 1-65)
Source: RNAcentral